Molecule: transfer RNA, 76 nt
Filed under: Ensifer meliloti
Lineage: Bacteria; Pseudomonadati; Pseudomonadota; Alphaproteobacteria; Hyphomicrobiales; Rhizobiaceae
Description: Sinorhizobium meliloti tRNA-OTHER
Source: RNAcentral
GCAGUCGGAAGCGGCAAAAAAGUGACUUAAAAUCCCUCGGGAAACCGUACGGGUUCGAUUCCCGUCGUCCGCACCA